This 216-nucleotide long non-coding RNA is filed under the name Salvia miltiorrhiza (redroot sage). RNAcentral's name for it is "long non-coding RNA (SMIL_LNC013793)". The record is from RNAcentral. Lineage: Eukaryota; Viridiplantae; Streptophyta; Magnoliopsida; Lamiales; Lamiaceae.
GGAGAUGACUCGGGCGAUGAGAGGCGGGGCGAAUGAUGGUCAAAGAUGAAAGAAGAAUAAUAUUUUCAAUUGAAAUAAAGACUCAUUUUGUUUAUGAUGUUUAUUUUAAUUUUCUCACUUGGAUUCGGGUUUUUAGUUAUUUAUUUUAAAUAUUGAAACCUUGUUAUUUUUAUUCAAAGUACUUCUUUUUUAUUUAAUAAGAAAAUUGGGGCGUCA